RNAcentral lists this unclassified non-coding RNA (699 nucleotides) under Hevea brasiliensis (rubber tree). Lineage: Eukaryota; Viridiplantae; Streptophyta; Magnoliopsida; Malpighiales; Euphorbiaceae. The record is from RNAcentral.
AAAUAAUUAAAAUGUAUAUUAUAUUAUAUAAUAUACUUAAUCCUAAAUUAUAUAUGCAUUUUAUAAUUAAGGAUUAUGCAUUUAGAAAUAGCUAAAAGAUAUAUUAUGUAUUAAUAACCUGCUUCAAUACUUAAAUGCUGAUUCAAGUGUAACUUUUAUAGAAUAAUUGCAUAAAGUUAUUUCAAGAACCGAACCGGAAUCGUACCAAACUUAAACAAAAAAACCGAGAAUCGUACCAAAUUAGAACCAUACCAAAAUUUCGAUUUAGUUCCAGUUUCUAGGCAGAUCCGGAACCAGAACCACACACUCCUGGGAACCGGAACUGAACAAUACCUAAGUUACUGUUGCCACUGAGAGAAAAGACAAGGAGAGAAGAAAAGGAGAAAACUAGGUACACAGGCCUUCCAAAUCCAGUAAAACUACCCAAGAAAAUAACUACUAUUUGACAAUGUAUCCUUUGUAAUGUGAAUGUUAUCUGGGAUCCUAUAUAUGAUGCAUGUGGGUUUCUUUGUUAAUAUUUUUAGCAGGUUUCACUCUCAAUUUGUCAUCCCUUGGUGCAUUUUAUUCAUUUAUUGUAUAGUCAUUUGUAAUCUAUUUGGAUUUAAAGAUGAUGGAUCCUAGCUCAUAAUGUUAUCCUUUCUAUUGAUCUUCUGACUCUAUAAAUUCUUCUUAUAUACUCUAGGGUUCAAUGUGGAGAAA